GUUGUUGGGUAGGGGAGCGUUCUGUAAGCCUGUGAAGGUGUGCUGUGAGGCAUGCUGGAGGUAUCAGAAGUGCGAAUGCUGACAUAAGUAACGAUAAAGCGGGUGAAAAGCCCGCUCGCCGGAAGACCAAGGGUUCCUGUCCAACGUUAAUCGGGGCAGGGUGAGUCGACCCCUAAGGCGAGGCCGAAAGGCGUAGUCGAUGGGAAACAGGUUAAUAUUCCUGUACUUGGUGUUACUGCGAAGGGGGGACGGAGAAGGCUAUGUUGGCCGGGCGACGGUUGUCCCGGUUUAAGCGUGUAGGCUGGUUUUCCAGGCAAAUCCGGAAAAUCAAGGCUGAGGCGUGAUGACGAGGCACUACGGUGCUGAAGCAACAAAUGCCCUGCUUCCAGGAAAAGCCUCUAAGCAUCAGGUAACAUCAAAUCGUACCCCAAACCGACACAGGUGGUCAGGUAGAGAAUACCAAGGCGCUUGAGAGAACUCGGGUGAAGGAACUAGGCAAAAUGGUGCCGUAACUUCGGGAGAAGGCACGCUGAUAUGUAGGUGAAGUCCCUCGCGGAUGGAGCUGAAAUCAGUCGAAGAUACCAGCUGGCUGCAACUGUUUAUUAAAAACACAGCACUGUGCAAACACGAAAGUGGACGUAUACGGUGUGACGCCUGCCCGGUGCCGGAAGGUUAAUUGAUGGGGUCAGCGCAAGCGAAGCUCUUGAUCGAAGCCCCGGUAAACGGCGGCCGUAACUAUAACGGUCCUAAGGUAGCGAAAUUCCUUGUCGGGUAAGUUCCGACCUGCACGAAUGGCGUAAUGAUGGCCAGGCUGUCUCCACCCGAGACUCAGUGAAAUUGAACUCGCUGUGAAGAUGCAGUGUACCCGCGGCAAGACGGAAAGACCCCGUGAACCUUUACUAUAGCUUGACACUGAACAUUGAGCCUUGAUGUGUAGGAUAGGUGGGAGGCUUUGAAGUGUGGACGCCAGUCUGCAUGGAGCCGACCUUGAAAUACCACCCUUUAAUGUUUGAUGUUCUAACGUGGACCCGUGAUCCGGGUUGCGGACAGUGUCUGGUGGGUAGUUUGACUGGGGCGGUCUCCUCCUAAAGAGUAACGGAGGAGCACGAAGGUUGGCUAAUCCUGGUCGGACAUCAGGAGGUUAGUGCAAUGGCAUAAGCCAGCUUGACUGCGAGCGUGACGGCGCGAGCAGGUGCGAAAGCAGGUCAUAGUGAUCCGGUGGUUCUGAAUGGAAGGGCCAUCGCUCAACGGAUAAAAGGUACUCCGGGGAUAACAGGCUGAUACCGCCCAAGAGUUCAUAUCGACGGCGGUGUUUGGCACCUCGAUGUCGGCUCAUCACAUCCUGGGGCUGAAGUAGGUCCCAAGGGUAUGGCUGUUCGCCAUUUAAAGUGGUACGCGAGCUGGGUUUAGAACGUCGUGAGACAGUUCGGUCCCUAUCUGCCGUGGGCGCUGGAGAACUGAGGGGGGCUGCUCCUAGUACGAGAGGACCGGAGUGGACGCAUCACUGGUGUUCGGGUUGUCAUGCCAAUGGCACUGCCCGGUAGCUAAAUGCGGAAGAGAUAAGUGCUGAAAGCAUCUAAGCACGAAACUUGCCCCGAGAUGAGUUCUCCCUGACCCUUUAAGGGUCCUGAAGGAACGUUGAAGACGACGACGUUGAUAGGCCGGGUGUGUAAGCGCAGCGAUGCGUUGAGCUAACCGGUACUAAUGAACCGUGAGGCUUAACCUU
RNAcentral lists this ribosomal RNA (1726 nucleotides) under Escherichia coli 99.1781. RNAcentral's name for it is "bacterial LSU rRNA". It matches the Rfam family "Bacterial large subunit ribosomal RNA", at positions 1220 to 2925 of the family's 2925-position model. RNAcentral also lists the same sequence under 1 other name. Lineage: Bacteria; Pseudomonadati; Pseudomonadota; Gammaproteobacteria; Enterobacterales; Enterobacteriaceae. The record is from RNAcentral.